This 253-nucleotide ribosomal RNA is filed under the name uncultured bacterium. Its description in RNAcentral is "partial 16S ribosomal RNA". It matches the Rfam family "Bacterial small subunit ribosomal RNA", at positions 524 to 776 of the family's 1533-position model. The record is from RNAcentral.
UACGUAGGGGGCAAGCGUUGUCCGGAAUUAUUGGGCGUAAAGAGCGCGUAGGCGGUCCGAUAAGUCGGCUGUGAAAGUCAGGGGCUCAACCCUUGAAAGCCGGCCGAUACUGUCGGACUAGAGUCCGGAAGAGGCAAGUGGAAUUCCCGGUGUAGCGGUGAAAUGCGCAGAUAUCGGGAGGAACACCAAUGGCGAAGGCAGCUCGCUGGGACGGUAUUGACGCUGAGACGCGAAAGCGUGGGGAGCAAACAGG